This is a long non-coding RNA of Tupaia belangeri chinensis (Chinese tree shrew), 1670 nucleotides long. RefSeq lists it as uncharacterized. The transcript is spliced from 8 exons. NCBI's taxonomy places the organism in Eukaryota, Metazoa, Chordata, Mammalia, Scandentia, Tupaiidae. The record is from RefSeq and is a predicted model, not a curated record.
UCUUCAGAAUGUCAGCCUUUACCUCCUUCAGGAGCCCCACCACUUAUUAAAUCAGAGCUGUCUGCUCAGAUGUCCCUUUAUCAUUGAAAACGAGAACGUGUACACCAGAGCUCAGUGUGGGCUGGGGCAGAUGGGCUGCGGAGAGAAGAAAGGUUGGCCGUGUCUUACCCAAAAGAAGAAGAGCAAAGCCCGUGAACCCAAUUUCCUCUGAAACAAGAGCUUGGCCUCUGCUCUGCAUCUUGGCGUGCAGAAAGGGAAAUGCGUCAGGGAAGAGGGCUAGUAAGAGUCUGCAAGCAUUGCUCACAGCGUGUCCCAGCCUCUAGGAAUGAUUUCUGAGGCAGAAAGAUGUAUUUGUUUCAGUACCCUGUUCUUAUAGAACUCAACGAAAGAAACACUCAGCUGCUCCUUCAUGACCUAAGAUAAUUGAAGUCUUUGAUGCAUGAACAAAUAGAGUUGGACCUGCUAAGGAUGAGUUUCCAAUAUCCUUUUUUUUAAUUUCCCGUCUGUAACUCUUGCUUCCAGAGAAUGCUCUACUGUAUAUCAUUAGUUAAUGGGGACAUUAUUUAGGGCCAUUCUACAGUAACUCAUCACUUUUGAGGUUUGGAAUUAGCAGUUUCUAUUAACCAGUUAAAGGCCCACAUCAUUUUCCCUGCAGAGCAUAUAUUCAACUCAGCAAUAUCUUGAUUCUUGCCCUGUCCCAAGAAUCUCAAUAUUCUCUUCUCCUAGACAGCCUUAUUUUUCUUUUAUAAUUGCAAAAAUCUCCUGUGAUGAGCAGUACUUACUUAUCUUUCUAGCCAGGAGAAUAUGAAAACUCAUAUAUUUUUACUCUCAUAGAUUAAAUCAAAUGCACCUUGAACGCCAACACAAUAGCAACAGGAGAAUCUUUUGGAGAGCUGUGACCAAAAUUUUGAAUGGUCAUAAAAGAUGUUGAUUGAUUGGAGGAAAUAAGCUACAACUGGAGACUGCCUGACCAGCGAAUCACUGCGGGGCCAAGGAGCUGGUUUCCCGUGUACAGAGAGAACAAGUUGCUAUUUCAGAAGCUGCUUAGAUCUUACAGCUAAUUAAUGUUGAAGCGGCAUUGUCAGAUGGAAUUUUGCAGGCCUGAUGAUUUUGGACAACACUGGGCAAUUGGAGUGAGGCAGCGACCAGCUGAAUCUGGACAUGAUCACGGUUGCCCAGUGAUGAUCUUGAACCUCAGUGUUCAUGCUAUUGCUGGACAUGGAAGAAUACAAAAUAGAUUUGAAAUUGAUCAUCAUCCAAACUAGAAGAAGACAAAGGACAGCCUGCUCAGUGCUGUGGAUCAUUGGACUGUAGAUGUGCCUAAAUUGGAUGGUUCUUGCUGAAUGACUACUACCAAGUCUCUGCAGAUCACUGCGUAUUUUCCUGUGCUUUUUCACAAGAAAGGCUAACACUCCAAAAACUGCACUGGAAGAUGACUGAAACAAUGCACAAUAUGUUGUUGCUGCUCAUUAUAGAAUAGCUUAACCACAGUAAAAUGGACAAGAUCAAAUAUAGUCCCUGUCCCAGAAAGACUCGGGGAUGUCUCUAACCUAUAUAUCUCUAACCUACAUAUCUCUAGCACAGAAGUUCUUAACCUAGGAUUCAUACAUGCAAGAAGUUCUCUUUCAUGGUAUAAAUGUCUGCGUACUAACAGACUUGAACUAUUUUAA